CAGUCGCCGCGGGAAAACGAAGGGUGCAAGCGUUACCCGGAAUUACUGGGCGUAAAGCGUGCGUAGGUGGUGGUUUAAGUCCGUUGUGAAAGCCCCGGGUUCAACCUGGGAAUUGCAGUGGAUACUGGGUCACUAGAGUGUGGUAGAGGAUAGUGGAAUUUCCGGUGUAGCAGUGAAAUGCGUAGAGAUCGGAAGGAACAUCUGUGGCGAAGGCGACUAUCUGGGCCAACACUGACACUGAGGCACGAAAGCGUGGGGAGCAAACAGGAUUAGAUACCCCAGUAGUCCCUGUCUCUUAUAC
RNAcentral lists this ribosomal RNA (301 nucleotides) under uncultured bacterium. RNAcentral's name for it is "partial 16S ribosomal RNA". It matches the Rfam family "Bacterial small subunit ribosomal RNA", at positions 509 to 807 of the family's 1533-position model. The record is from RNAcentral.